AAGAUCACGGUUAAAUUAUGAAAGCAUUGAUUCUCAGCACUGUUUGCUUUCUUUUUGCAUUUGGUAAAAGUUCGUCCGCGUUGAUACCAGAUGUUCGGCCCACUUCUUGUGCAGCCGUGUCAUGUCUAGUUGGUUUUAAAUGCGUUGAAGAAGAUAAAGGGGCUUUGUGUAAGAAAAUAUGUAACACAAGCAAGGAUCCAUCUGUAGUUCUGGAGUUUGUGUUUGUCCACGAAUUUGUCCACUCUACUUCAUGCCAGUUUGUGGCGACGAUGGCCGAGAGUAUGGGAAUAUUUGUCUAUUGAAUAUAGCGGCUUGUGAAAGUAAGAAAACAAUCAAAACUGGUACAUGCAAAAAAGAUCCAUGUGCGUCAGUGACGUGCAAGAAAGGUUUUCAAUGUAUCGCUAGAGAAGAACAGACAUAUUGUCGACCAGUACUUUGCUCGCUUCCUCCUUCUACCGGAAAAUGCAAAGGAUAUUUCAAAAGAUAUUUCUAAAAUUCAGUUUCUAAUAAAUGCGAGAAGUUCAUUUAUGGUGGCUGUGGUGGAAACAGAAAUAACUUUCGCUCUAGAUAUGUGUGUAAAAUUUGGUGUGAAGCUAAUUGAUAAAACAUCGCUUGUUUUUACGUAACAGAAUCAUGCCCAGUGGAUAAGCCUUUUCAUUAUUGCUUUCGUCGACCGUGUGAAGAUAUGAACUAUAGACUGAAGUCCUUUAAAUAGUUGUGUAGAAUAGCACUAUUCAAUACAUAAAUUUCACGAAUCAA
Long non-coding RNA from Xenia sp. Carnegie-2017, 759 nucleotides. RefSeq lists it as uncharacterized. Lineage: Eukaryota; Metazoa; Cnidaria; Anthozoa; Malacalcyonacea; Xeniidae. The record is from RefSeq and is a predicted model, not a curated record. The transcript has 6 exons.